UAAAAUUAAAGGGAACAAUCUUGUGGAGCAUUUAUCAGCUAGCUGUAAAUUAUUGAUUUAUUUAUCUCUAAGGACACUCAACACAUUGAGUGUCAGAUUCUCUGUAGUAAAGAAUCAGUGGUUAUUGGUAGAUAACCACUAUAUAUUAAAAACAAAUAUGAGGGCCAGAUAUGAUGGCCUAUACCUAUAAUCUCAGGCCUUAAGGAGGAGACAAGGGAAUCAGGAUGGUAACUUUGAGAUUAGCCUGAGCAAGUUCCAGGGUAGCCUGAGUCACAGCUUGUCUCCCAAAACAGAAUAUCAACAACAAAUGUCUGUAAGAGACAUUUUAUUAUGUGUGAUAACCAAAGAACAGGGGCAGACAUGUUGUGUGGUAAUUUAAAUAUGAAAUUAUGGGAUCUGAAAAGAACAGGAAAUGUUAAAAGCAGCUUGGACUUUGGUGGCAG
RNAcentral lists this long non-coding RNA (443 nucleotides) under Androctonus crassicauda. Lineage: Eukaryota; Metazoa; Arthropoda; Arachnida; Scorpiones; Buthidae. The record is from RNAcentral.